GGACCCGCACAAGCAGUGGAACAUGUGGUUUAAUUCGAUAGUCCACGAAAACCUUACCAAAUCUUGACAUCCUGAUUACUGGAUUGGAAACAAUCUAUACAUUUAGUUGAGUCAGAGACAGGUGAUGCAUGGCCGUCGUCAGCUCGUGCCGUGAGGUGUUAGGUUAAGUCCUUUAACGAGCGCAACCCACGUCUUUAUUUGCCAACAGGUAAUGCUGGGAACUAUAAAGAGACCGCUAUUGACAAAAUAGAGGAAGGUGUGGAUGAUGUCAGGUCAUCACGUCCCUUAUGAUUUGGGCUACACAUGUGUUACAAUGGUGACUACAAAAAGUUACAAUGCCGUGAGGCGGAGUCAAUCUUACAAAAAGUCAUCUCAGUUCGGAUUGCAGGCUGCAACUCGCCUGCAUGAAGUUGGAAUUGCUAGUAAUCGUAGAUCAGCAUGCUA
This 444-nucleotide ribosomal RNA is filed under the name uncultured Pseudomonadota bacterium. RNAcentral describes it as "bacterial SSU rRNA". It matches the Rfam family "Bacterial small subunit ribosomal RNA", at positions 917 to 1359 of the family's 1533-position model. The record is from RNAcentral. Lineage: Bacteria; Pseudomonadati; Pseudomonadota.